Molecule: ribosomal RNA, 253 nt
Filed under: uncultured bacterium
Lineage: Bacteria
Description: partial 16S ribosomal RNA
Rfam family: Bacterial small subunit ribosomal RNA
Source: RNAcentral
UACAGAGGGUGCGAGCGUUAAUCGGAAUUACUGGGCGUAAAGCGUGCGCAGGCGGUUUUGCAAGACAGAUGUGAAAUCCCCGGGCUUAACCUGGGAACUGCAUUUGUGACUGCAAGGCUAGAGUGUGUCAGAGGGAGGUGGAAUUCCGCGUGUAGCAGUGAAAUGCGUAGAGAUGCGGAGGAACACCGAUGGCGAAGGCAGCCUCCUGGGAUAACACUGACGCUCAUGCACGAAAGCGUGGGGAGCAAACAGG